GAUGAAGAACGUAGCGAAAUGCGAUACGUAAUGUGAAUUGCAGAAUUCAGUGAAUCAUCGAAUCUUUGAACGCAUAUUGCGCUCUCUGGUAUUCCGGAGAGCAUGCUUGUUUGAGUAUCAGUAAACACCUCAACUCCCUUUUCUUUUUUGAAAUUGGAGCUGGACUUGAGUGAUCCCAACGCUUUCUUCCAAGAAAGUGGCGGGUUGCUUGAAAUGCAGGUGCAGCUGAACUUUUCUCUCAGCUAUAAGCAUAUCUAUUUAGUCUGCCUAAAAAACAGAUUAUUACCUUUGCUGCAGCUAACAUAAAGGAGACUAGUUCUUGUGCUGACUGAUGCAGGAUUCACAGAGACAGCUUCGGCUGACUUUGUAAACUCGAUCUCAAAUCAAGUAAGACUACCCGCUGAACUUAAGCAUAUCAAUAAGCGGAGGA
This 430-nucleotide unclassified non-coding RNA is filed under the name soil metagenome. Its description in RNAcentral is "partial contains 5.8S ribosomal RNA, internal transcribed spacer 2, and large subunit ribosomal RNA". The stretch from base 1 to 120 matches the Rfam family "5.8S ribosomal RNA", at positions 35 to 154 of the family's 154-position model. The record is from RNAcentral.